AGCGAACGCUGGCGGUAGGCCUAACACAUGCAAGUCGAACGGCAACACAGUAAGAGCUUGCUCUUACGGGUGGCGAGUGGCGGACGGGUGAGGAAUACAUCGGAAUCUACUUUUUCGUGGGGGAUAACGUAGGGAAACUUACGCUAAUACCGCAUACGACCUACGGGUGAAAGCAGGGGAUCUUCGGACCUUGCGCGAUUGAAUGAGCCGAUGUCGGAUUAGCUAGUUGGCGGGGUAAAGGCCCACCAAGGCGACGAUCCGUAGCUGGUCCGAGAGGAUGAUCAGCCACACUGGAACUGAGACACGGUCCAGACUCCUACGGGAGGCAGCAGUGGGGAAUAUUGGACAAUGGGCGCAAGCCUGAUCCAGCCAUACCGCGUGGGUGAAGAAGGCCUUCGGGUUGUAAAGCCCUUUUGUUGGGAAAGAAAAGCAGCAGGUUAAUACCCCGCUGUUCUGACGGUACCCAAAGAAUAAGCACCGGCUAACUUCGUG
RNAcentral lists this ribosomal RNA (492 nucleotides) under uncultured bacterium. RNAcentral's name for it is "partial 16S ribosomal RNA". It matches the Rfam family "Bacterial small subunit ribosomal RNA", at positions 29 to 507 of the family's 1533-position model. The record is from RNAcentral.